Etheostoma spectabile (orangethroat darter) is the source of this 137-nucleotide long non-coding RNA. RefSeq lists it as uncharacterized. NCBI's taxonomy places the organism in Eukaryota, Metazoa, Chordata, Actinopteri, Perciformes, Percidae. The transcript has 3 exons. The record is from RefSeq and is a predicted model, not a curated record.
GGACUUUUUUUCACAGAUAAUAACGUUUUCUCACAUCCCGUUCACUGUUCAGGUUGCUACUUCAGGCUGCGGCCGACAGGAACGUUACACAUCAUGGAUAAAAUUGUUCGUAAAAGUCCUUAUGUUUUGUAGGGGAC